This 3517-nucleotide long non-coding RNA is filed under the name Panax ginseng (ginseng). RNAcentral describes it as "long non-coding RNA (PGIN_LNC005889)". Lineage: Eukaryota; Viridiplantae; Streptophyta; Magnoliopsida; Apiales; Araliaceae. The record is from RNAcentral.
GGUGAUAGUCUUUGUUAAUUAAUUAGUUAUCCUUAAUAAUUAGUUUUACAAUCUGAAAUUGCAAUUGUUUAAAUAAAAUCAAAUUGAUAUAAAGUUAGUAGUUGGAUUAAUAUUAAUUAAUAUUUCUCGUGGGAUCGAAACUCUCCUUACUACUAUAUUACUUGGGAUCGAAACUCUCCUUACUACUAUAUUACUUGUUGAUUACGUAUACUUGCGUAUGAAAUUGCCAAUACCAUGUUGGGCAAACACAAGCCAAACAGAACUAUGAACUCUAGUGAAUGUUUGUAUCACAACUUGAAACCCCAUGACAAAAAUUUGCCAUUUAAAUGGAACGAGAAAGUGUUUCCAAUGCUAACAAGAUUGACCCAAUUGUUAAAAGAUCUAGACUUUAUUGAUGGAAGGCCAGUUAACAUCAAUGACUAUUCAAUAGAUGUUGAUGAGUAUCUUGUACGCAACAUGCAUACUUUUAAGUCACUUGCCAGGGGCUUUAUUAUAUUGGGUAUUCAUCAAUUUAACUAGCACUACAGAAGGAUGUGUCUUCUUUCGUAGAUGACAAGUGUGCACCACCUGCCUUGUUCAAUAAACCGAGUGAAAGGCAACCCAUCACUGUGAAUUCACUCACCAUGGCGUGCAACUUCUUAAAUGUUUCGACGCAACAAAGGAAGUGUCUCUCUCAAUUUUCCCACAGGUCACACAACACUAGAUAUGGACUGGUGCGCUUGAGGAGACUGCAUGCAUUGAAAUCCAAGAUGGAUUUUAUAAAUCUUCGGGAUGUUGGAAAAGUUGAUAACAUGGGUCAACAAAUAGUCAUUACUUGUCUAAAGUUCUUAGACGAUUCCACUUCUAAUGAUUCCGAUUCAACUUCAUGGAUGCAACCUUCACCAAUUAAAUUCACGAGUUCACCUUCUUUCCAUAAGUGGGAAAAUGUACUUGAGAUGAUCUUAUUAACUGCUUGAGAAAUGAAAAGUAGUUAGUUUUACAUGUUACAAAGCUUGAGGUCAUGAAAGAAGGGCUCUCUCAAAUCAAGAAAGUUUUGAUAGAUAAAAAUAUUGGAUACAGGUAUCUCUAUGGCAGUGUGAGAGAUAUCGAAGUAGAUCCUUGUGGUGGAGUCUAUGGUAAUGAUGGUGGCAAAAAGUUUUGCUUGUAUACAGGGAAAAUUUUGACAUCCGUUGAGGAGAAAAUGGUUUGGAGUGGUGUCAAGCAGUUAGAUAGAGCUAUUGGGAUAUUCAAGCUUGUAUGGGAGACGGCAGAGAUGAAAGGAUCUUUGGUGGUGCAAGGUCAUUUAUGGUGUGUGGGGGCUGAUAGUCAGUCAGUUAUUUAAAGGAAACGUGUUCUUUGUGCAUGACAUCAGUUUCUGAUCUCUGUCUCACCCAAGGAAUUGGAAGGGUAUAAUGUGGUGAUGAUUUUCAUUGGUCCUCUCUUAUGUGAGUUAAAAAAUUCAGUCAUAUUGCUAAUUAUUGUACUUUAUCUGGGAUAUACUAAACACGAGCAUCAUCCCUUCAAUUAUGUUUCAAAAUUGUAAUCAGAGAAGAUUUUAAGUAGAAACUACGAAGAGAAGUAGAGUUAUGGAGUAAGAGCUCAACAAGCUCAUUGUCCAUUUACUAAUCUGUUUCCUGAGAAGGUUUGAUUGUUGUGUCCUCUACCUCAAAAUACCAUUUGUUGUCCCAAAUUGUAGUAUCAAGUAUGAAUUUCAAUGUUUUUAUAUUUAUAAUCGGAAUUCAAACACAAGUAUAAUUCUCUUUUGAUCUUGUAAAGUAAUUAAAAAAAUAUAUAGUAGACUGCCUAAUGCACAUCCCAAUAAAGAGAGAUCAAAUGAAGUUAAUACUCUUAUAAUAUAAAAUAGCAUAAUUAGUUAAUACCAUGAAUGCGGAAGCUUAGGCACAUAGGAUUCCAUACAUCUGAGGUAAAAGGUUGUUUAGAAAGGAACAAGAAUUAUGCAAUAAUGUGAUAAUGUUACAAUUUCUAGGUGGUAACCAGCAAAUUCAUCCACCGAUUUCUGAAGUAUCAAUUGAAAUUUACAAUAGUGUUGACUUUGCAUAAUGAAUUAAGGUAUUGUCAUAUGUGAAAUAAAGAUUUAGCAUGUGCAAUGCUUGCCAAAAAAUAGAGCUCAACAAAAAUCUUGCAUAAUAUCAUCCUAUUGAUAACAUGAAUUGAAGCUGAGCUUCCCAGUGUAUAUCUUAUGCAAACCCCUUAAAUGACAAAUUUAUUGCUUCCUAAACACGUGUAUCUUAUCAUUAAAUAUGGUUAAGAAUCCCAUUUUAAAAGUCUAAACCCAACUCCAUCUACAUCUCCCCGUAAGGCCUCCCUAUAGCAGAAUCUGCAAUAGGUGCGUGCAACCACGCUACUAAACUGUGCAAGUAGUGAUAAGUUAUCACUUACCACAGAGAUUCAAUAUACCAACAAAAAAAAUAUGUAUGAAAUACUGAUGCAGGAUGAGCGCAAAACAUGGUUGGGCAAAUACAGAAGUCUUUGGAGGUCCAUGCCAAAGCGUCCAACAAAUAUAACUUUCUAGUAAUUAAUUUUGAUUUAGUUUAUUUUGAUUUAUCAAUUAACAUAAAGAGAUGUAAUUGCAUCAGUAAAAAAGACAGACUGAAUAUAAGUUUCUAAACUUAUAAUUGAGUAGGUUACUUUCCAAUUCUUACCUAAUAUUUCCCAAUUCCCUUUCAAUUUAAAACACUAAAUCCAGACCUCACCAAUUACUGCCUCCAACAAAACUAAGCUCAGUUCAGUUAGUAACAAAUUCAAAUGUUACCAAAUAAUGAAUACAUCAAAGUUGUAACAAUAAAAAGUUUUCAGUAUUUUGUGUACACAUCAACCUUUACAGUGUUAACUUCGUAUAAAAAAAACGGUUAAGGUGAAAACUCUGAGGUAUAGAGAGAACAUAACAGAACUGAUAGCCCUGAAUGAUGUCAAAGCAAGAGAAAUAAAAGUAAGGACUCACCUUUACAGCAAUAUAAUUGACAGUUUUAAAUUUUUACACAUUUAAUAUCACUAUAAAUACAUUAGUUUACAUUCGAUAGUAGAAACUUCCUCAGACCAAAUAUCAAUUCACACCAUAUGUAAUACAAAACGAGAAAAUAUUGGCCCAUUAAUCGGAUCUAUGAAAACAAUUUUAAAAAAAAUUGCGCGAAGAAUAAAUCUAAUUGAAUACUAACUAAAUGCCAUAGAACAAAUGCAUUUAUUCAAAUGAAAUUCAAUACGGUUAACGGUACAAAAAUAUAGAAAUUAAAACUGAGAUGAAGAAAAUUUGAACACUCACCGACAUGGAAUCUAGCUUGAAGAGAAACAGUGACCAAUUGAAGAAAAAAAGUUGAAUCAAACCACCAGCGGCUCCAAUACACGAAACAGUCUGAAGAGUGAGAAAGUAUGAAUGCAUAUAUACGUGUGGAGAGAGGAAGAAGAGAAUUGGGGGAAAGAGUUGCACACUUACCAGAGAGAUCGAAAAUAGAAGAUGGAAGAGGAGGAAGAGUUUAGCUAACGUGUGUAGUGGUGUUGAAACGUGGACACGCUAUUUUCA